UCUUGCAUUGGUUCUCCCUAAUUCUACUGACCCCCUCAAACAGCUUUGGAGCUCAAACUAUUCUCUUUAGCAGCAGCUGGAUAAAAUAUCAAGCUGAAGACUAUGUGUGGCUCUGACAGCAGCCAAACCCAACAACAUAUUUACUUCAAAGCAGGCAGAAGGAUAGCUUGUCCAGCUGGAAAAAGCAGGAAGUGUGCUUUUAAAGGAGCAGAAGAAGGGGACAGACAAGGAGAUGAUUGUGUGGCCACACCAGCCUGACCCUAACUUCAAGCAGCUUCCUACCUUGCAGCAGCCUUCAUGCUCCAUGUCCCAAAUGAGAGCCAGGAGCCAGCCCAGCCAUCAACUCCUCCAACCACAAAACACACCAAGAUCAUCUAAGACAUCCUCCUCCUCAUCCAGGAUAGGAGAGAAGGCUCCUGCCAGCCUCAUGUCACAGAGCUACACCACAUCACACGUGGGGAGUUGUGAUUGCACCUCACAAGGGACUGAAAAGCGAGAAAUGGGCUCCGGUGAGUGAAUGAUUGCACAAUAUCUUCUACAUCUCAUUUCCUGCAUUUGUGGAACAUCUAUGCCCUGGCCUUGGCUUUUUACUGAUAGUAAAAGGCUGUGGCAGUGAUAGGGACAACACUUCCAGGCUCAGAUUGGAGGGCAUGGCAUGGAACUGUAUCUAUAAGGAUGCUGUGAAAGCUAAAAGCUGGUCUGGCUUGAAAAAGCAUCUGAGCAAGACAAAGCUCCCCAUGGGGAGCUGCUGGGGAGGGAGCAACAGCCACUUGGCUGUUCCUUCUGCAUCCAAAGAACCCCAAGAGCCCAGAAGAGGUGCUUGGUCCUUGU
Pezoporus flaviventris is the source of this 831-nucleotide long non-coding RNA. RefSeq lists it as uncharacterized. The transcript has 3 exons. NCBI's taxonomy places the organism in Eukaryota, Metazoa, Chordata, Aves, Psittaciformes, Psittacidae. The record is from RefSeq and is a predicted model, not a curated record.